Vicia villosa (hairy vetch) is the source of this 2539-nucleotide long non-coding RNA. RefSeq lists it as uncharacterized. The transcript is spliced from 6 exons. The record is from RefSeq and is a predicted model, not a curated record. Lineage: Eukaryota; Viridiplantae; Streptophyta; Magnoliopsida; Fabales; Fabaceae.
CAUUUUCCAUUCUUUCUCUCCCAAAAGCUUCGUCCCUUCUCUCUCACCAAAAACCCUAGUUCAUUCUCAACUUCAUUCCAUAAUAACCAUUAACCCUUGUUCAAAUUCCUCACAAACUUCAUCAAACGUAAAUAUAGUGUCAUGGAGUACUUCUAAACCUAAUUUUGUCCUAAAAAACCUAUCACCUCUCUCACCCCAACAAUAUCUCUCCGCAACACACAAACCUUUAAACCCAUCUCCAUCAAAUGCGCCGCCACAACCCAAGCCCAGCUACAAACCCAAACCCAAUUUCAAUCCUCAGACCGUGUCUUCAACUUUGCUGCCGCCAUAUGAACCGCUCUCAGCCACGUCGAGAAUCUCAUCACUGGUUUCACCAAGGGGUUCUGCUACAAAAUGAGGUUUGUGUAUGCUCAUUUUCCUAUCAACGCUAGCAUUACCAAUGAUAACAAGUCCAUCGAGAUCCGUAACUUUCUCGGUGAGAAGAAGGUGAGGGAAGUGGAUUUGCUUGAUGGAGUUCAAUUGUUCGAUCUGAGAAGGUGAAGGAUGAUGUUGUUUUAGAUGGAAAUGACAUUGAACUUUUUUCUCGAUCAUGUGCUCUUAUUAACCAGGUACAUUUUUGUGAAGUGUGAACCUUUAACCAAAACAGAACCUGAUCUUCAGUAUUGUUUAUUAUUCACUAUAUGCAACUAACGAUACAAUUUCAGAUGAAUUCUACACCAAAAUUGAUAGUCAAAGGUUUGAGAAACAACACAAAUCCAAACAAAUGUCAGCUCUUCAUAAACUUAGUACCUCUCUCGAAUAAAUGAUUUAGCCAAUACUGCUUAAUGUUAUUCAUUUUGGGGGUGCUUGUGCUAUUAUACUUACUAGCUUGUUGACAUGUGCUAAUACUGAGUUUACUUUUUAUUUUAUUUUGAAGGCUUUGUUGAAAAUGGGAGUUCGUUGUGUCACUGUAUCUGAUAUUAUCAGAAGGCGUCUGAUGUUAAUAACAUCAUCUCUCAUGUUUUACUUUAGUGGUUUGGUCAUGUUGUGGGCUCCGAACGUUCCGGUGAUUCUAUUUUCAAGGCUAUUGAGUGGAAUUGGAAUUGCAUUAGCCAUGACUAUAACUCCUCUUUACAUAUCUGAGAUAGCACCGCCUGAUAUCAGAGGCUUACUCAACACUCUCCCUCAUCUUUCAUGCUCUUUGGGAAUGUUCUAGGCUUAUCUCUUGUUUUUCACUAUUUCUUUGACGAAAUUGCCGAGAUGGUGCGGCAUGCUUGCUGUGGUUUCUAUUUAUUCUGUUGUUUAUUUUUUUCUCGCCUUGUUUUAUUUCCCCGAAUCUCCUCCUUGGCUUGUGAGUAAAGGUAGAUUAUCUGAAGUUAAGAGAGUUCUGCAAAGAAUUCGCCGCGUUGAAGAUGUUUCAGGAGAAUUAGCUUUGUAAUCUGAGGGAAUGAAUCCUAGAGGUGAAUCUAUCAUUUUAGAAGAAUACAUAGUUGCACCAGCAAAUGAACUCAUUUCAAACAAGGAAGCAGGGAAAGAUUGUAUAAAGCUGGAAAGAUUUGUUAGACCCUGGUGUAAAGAGAGCAUUAUUUGUUGGAAUAGGACUUCAAGCUCUUCAGCAGUCUUGAAGGUCUUGCUUCCCCAUGUUGCCCUAGCCGCCUUCAUUGAAGCAUUUGUCACCUUGACUCUGCUUGUUUUUUGUUUGUAUCACAUGCCCUUUUCCCACUUAUAUCAGCUAUCACAUAAACACCAAACCUUCUUGACCUUAAAACAGGUUAUUUCAACUUGAGACAAAUUAAAGCAGCUACUAAUGACUUUGACCCUGCAAAUAAGAUUGGUGAAGGGGGAUUUGGGUCGGUAUUCAAGGUUACAGAGAUGGAGACCCAGGAGAUGGAGACCCAACUGACAAUGCUACAAGAAUCUAUACAUGGUUUACUGAGGUUUGAAGUUACAUUACACCACUUUUAAGUAAAUUUUUGGGGUUUAAGGUCUCUCUCUGUCUCUCAUAUUUUCUCAUUCAUAUGGUUUACUUAAAGCUGAUUUUAUUGUGUAUUAUGAAGAUGCUUUAACAAGAAGACCUGUUAAGUGGAUCUUCUCCUCAGCUCAUGUGAUGACAUUUGAGGUUGGAGUAGUGCUUGAGGAUUCCAAUCGGCAGGCUCCUGUGUACUGUUUCAAUCAGACUGAGAAGAUUUUGGAAUCGGCUGCUGUUCGUGGUGAUUCUUUUGGGAGUUUGAUGAGGGGCAAAUUUGACGAUGUUCGUGACAUUUAAGGAAAUGGAUUAAAUUGUAUAUGCCUUAUCUAUUUCUGUUUUGGGGAUAGGUAAGGAUUGUUUAGUGUAGUCAAAUAUUUAUAUCAAUUUUCCAUCAUCGUCUUGUAGGGAUAUGGAUGCAUCAUUGUUUUCAUCCAAGCUCAUAUGUCAAGUUCUUUUAGUUCAUCUCAUCUUAAAAUUUUGGGAGAUGAUGAACUGAAUUGCUAAGUCUCAUAAGGGAUAAAAUAUAACUUAUUUUGAUGUAAAUAGGUAAUCUAGUGAUUAAUUAUAUAAGUAGUAGUAAUAAUUUUGUAA